CCUACGGGAGGCAGCAGUGAGGAAUAUUGGUCAAUGGACGAGAGUCUGAACCAGCCAAGUAGCGUGAAGGAUGACUGCCCUAUGGGUUGUAAACUUCUUUUAUAUGGGAAUAAACCAGGGUAUGCAUACCCUCUUGUAUGUACCAUAUGAAUAAGGAUCGGCUAACUCCGUGCCAGCAGCCGCGGUAAUACGGAGGAUCCGAGCGUUAUCCGGAUUUGUUGUGUUUAAAGGGAGCGUAGGUGGAUUGUUAAGUCAGUUGUGAAAGUGUGCGGCUCAACCGUAAAAUUGCAGUUGAAACUGGCAGUCUUGAGUACAGUAGAGGUGGGCGGAAUGCGAGGUGUAGCGGUGAAAUGCUUAGAGAUCACGAAGAACUCCGAUUGCGAAGGCAGCUCACUGGAC
This 399-nucleotide ribosomal RNA is filed under the name uncultured bacterium. RNAcentral's name for it is "partial 16S ribosomal RNA". It matches the Rfam family "Bacterial small subunit ribosomal RNA", at positions 338 to 734 of the family's 1533-position model. The record is from RNAcentral.